GACGAACGCUGGCGGCGUGCUUAACACAUGCAAGUCGAACGAUGAAGCCUAGCUUGCUAGGUGGAUUAGUGGCGAACGGGUGAGUAAUACGUGAGUGACCUACCUUUGACUCUGGGAUAAGCCUGGGAAACUGGGUCUAAUACCGGAUACGACCAAUCUCCGCAUGGGGUGUUGGUGGAAAGCGUUAUGGAGUGGUUUUAGAUGGGCUCACGGCCUAUCAGCUUGUUGGUGAGGUAAUGGCUUACCAAGGCGACGACGGGUAGCCGGCCUGAGAGGGUGACCGGCCACACUGGGACUGAGACACGGCCCAGACUCCUACGGGAGGCAGCAGUGGGGAAUAUUGCACAAUGGGCGCAAGCCUGAUGCAGCGACGCCGCGUGAGGGAUGACGGCCUUCGGGCUGUAAACCUCUGUUAGCAUCGAAGAAGCGAAAGUGACGGUAGGUGCAGAGAAAGCGCCGGCUAACUACGUG
This 471-nucleotide ribosomal RNA is filed under the name uncultured bacterium. RNAcentral describes it as "partial 16S ribosomal RNA". It matches the Rfam family "Bacterial small subunit ribosomal RNA", at positions 28 to 507 of the family's 1533-position model. The record is from RNAcentral.